This 39-nucleotide small RNA is filed under the name Arabidopsis thaliana (thale cress). RNAcentral describes it as "ATSL286490". Lineage: Eukaryota; Viridiplantae; Streptophyta; Magnoliopsida; Brassicales; Brassicaceae. The record is from RNAcentral.
UUUAUUAACAUCAUCGGAGAGGCUAAAUAUUUAAGAAAA